AUCCAGGGGUUUUUGCCAUACACACAGCACAGAUUUUUUUGAUUAUGUAGAUUUUUUUCUACUGCAGUUUCAUAUGCAAAGCAUGCAUCAGCCACAUCCAUGCUAUCUCCUAAAGCAGUCAUUCUGAAACCCAAUCUGGGGACAGUGCAGACUAAAUAAAAUUUCAUUUUGAUUUGGCCUCCCGCUGAGAAUGGGACUGCUUUGUUUCAGCCGACAGAACCAGCAAGCCAGAAAGGUGUUGAAUACACAAAUACUGACUUAACGGAAAAUUAUAGUUUAGCCAGAAGAGGCAAAGAUCUGGUAUAUGAUCAUACGUAACACUGAUGUCAUGCUUGCAUCUUCGAAAAGCCUGACAAACAUUACCUCAUUCAAGUACAUACCAUCCUUUUGAGACAGAGCACUUUGAGUUCUCUACAACUUUCCCCAUGGGCCUUAGUCAAGGACAAGAAAUGCAAAACCUGCCAACACAUCUCUAUCACUCCCAAAAUAACCACACCCCACAACAGAACGAGCACCAUUACUGGAUCUUAUACCUACAUGCCAUAUAUCUCAUCUAGUGCACCAAAUGCCCUGAUAAAGAAUAUGUAGGAGAAACCAAACAAACUUUUCCAAACUUCCACUCAUUUGCAUCUUCACAGACUUCUUGUUCACUUUAGCAUCGUUUCUACCUGGAAGAACUCAAAACAUCAGCAGAGUCUCCCAUUGCCUGAAGAAGAAUGCUUGUGCCCAAAAGCAUGGAAAGAACUUUGUUCCAGCUACUCACUUGGUCUAAUAAAAUAUAUCAUAUUUACCCA
RNAcentral lists this long non-coding RNA (794 nucleotides) under Crocodylus porosus (Australian saltwater crocodile). RNAcentral's name for it is "lncRNA (ENSCPRG00005014438.1)". Lineage: Eukaryota; Metazoa; Chordata; Crocodylia; Crocodylidae. The record is from RNAcentral.